UCGCGGGGAGAGGGGGUGUGGUGAGGGGAAGAUACAGGGUGGAGAGAUUCCGCGGAGAAAGCAAAAUAGAAAAGCAACGGGAGGGACGAGAGGCAGACGGGAAAAACCGCGAGGCAGGAAAGCGACGAGAAGCGCGCAUCGGCGAGCAAGAGAGGCUGCGCUUUCCUCACUUACUGCGAGCGCGAGUCAGCGCUGAAGGCCCAGAGCGCGCUGCACGAGCAGAAGACCCUGCCCGGGGUAAGUGGCGCCCGCCGAGGCGCGAGCGACCCACGCGCCGACAGGGGGCGACUGCGGGAGGCCGGGCUGCGC
Molecule: long non-coding RNA, 309 nt
Filed under: Dasypus novemcinctus (nine-banded armadillo)
Lineage: Eukaryota; Metazoa; Chordata; Mammalia; Cingulata; Dasypodidae
Description: lncRNA (ENSDNOG00000052759.1)
Source: RNAcentral